This 253-nucleotide ribosomal RNA is filed under the name uncultured bacterium. RNAcentral describes it as "partial 16S ribosomal RNA". It matches the Rfam family "Bacterial small subunit ribosomal RNA", at positions 524 to 776 of the family's 1533-position model. The record is from RNAcentral.
UACGGAGGGUGCAAGCGUUAUCCGGAUUCACUGGGUUUAAAGGGUGCGUAGGUGGGCAGGUAAGUCAGUGGUGAAAUCUCUGGGCUUAACCCGGAAACUGCCGUUGAUACUAUCUGUCUUGAAUGUAGUGGAGGUGAGCGGAAUAUGUCAUGUAGCGGUGAAAUGCUUAGAUAUGACAUAGAACACCCAUUGCGAAGGCAGCUCGCUACACUAUUAUUGGCACUGAGGCACGAAAGCGUGGGGAUCAAACAGG